CCAGCAGCCGCGGUAAUACGUAGGGGGCUAGCGUUAUCCGGAAUUACUGGGCGUAAAGGGUGCGUAGGUGGUUUCUUAAGUCAGAGGUGAAAGGCUACGGCUCAACCGUAGUAAGCCUUUGAAACUGGGAAACUUGAGUGCAGGAGAGGAGAGUGGAAUUCCUAGUGUAGCGGUGAAAUGCGUAGAUAUUAGGAGGAACACCAGUUGCGAAGGCGGCUCUCUGGACUGUAACUGACACUGAGGCACGAAAGCGUGGGGAGCAAACAGGAUUAGAUACCCUGGUAGUCCACGCCGUAAACGAUGAGUACUAGCUGUCGGAGGUUACCCCCUUCGGUGGCGCAGCUAACGCAUUAAGUACUCCGCCUGGGAAGUACGCUCGCAAGAGUGAAACUCAAGGAAUUGACGGGGACCCGCACAAGUAGCGGAGCAUGUGGUUUAAUUCGAAGCAACGCGAAGAACCUUACCUAAGCUUGACAUCUUCUGACUCUCCUAAUCGGAGAUUCCCUUCGGGACAGAGUGACAGUGUGCAUGUUGUCGUCAGCUCGUGUCGUGAGAUGUUGGGUUAAGCCCCGCAACGAGCGCAACCCUUGCCUUUAGUUGCCAGCAUUAAGUUGGGCACUCUAGAGGGACUGCCAGGGAUAACCUGGAGGAAGGUGGGGAUGACGUCAAAUCAUCAUGCCCCUUAUGCUUAGGGCUACACACGUGCUACAAUGGGUGGUACAGAGGGCAGCCAAGUCGUGAGGCGGAGCUAAUCCCUUAAAGCCAUUCUCAGUUCGGAUUGUAGGCUGAAACUCGCCUACAUGAAGCUGGAGUUACUAGUAAUCGCAGAUCAGAAUGCUGCGGUGAAUGCGUUCCCGGGUCUUGUACACACCGCCCGUCACACCACGGAAGUUGGGGGCGCCCGAAGCCGGAUUGCUAACCUUUUGGAAGCGUCCGUCGAAGGUGAAAUCAAUAACUGGGGUGAAGUCGUAACAAGGUAGCCGAU
This 985-nucleotide ribosomal RNA is filed under the name uncultured Bacillota bacterium. RNAcentral describes it as "bacterial SSU rRNA". It matches the Rfam family "Bacterial small subunit ribosomal RNA", at positions 508 to 1504 of the family's 1533-position model. Lineage: Bacteria; Bacillati; Bacillota. The record is from RNAcentral.